This 65-nucleotide ribosomal RNA is filed under the name Inocybe whitei. Its description in RNAcentral is "partial 18S ribosomal RNA". The record is from RNAcentral. Lineage: Eukaryota; Fungi; Basidiomycota; Agaricomycetes; Agaricales; Inocybaceae.
UCAUUNAGAGGAAGUAAAAAGUCGUAAACNAGGGUNUCCGGUAGGUGACCUGCGGAGGAUCAUUA